This 737-nucleotide ribosomal RNA is filed under the name Bacillus cereus. RNAcentral describes it as "bacterial SSU rRNA". It matches the Rfam family "Bacterial small subunit ribosomal RNA", at positions 45 to 763 of the family's 1533-position model. Lineage: Bacteria; Bacillati; Bacillota; Bacilli; Caryophanales; Bacillaceae. The record is from RNAcentral.
UGCCUAUACAUGCAAGUCGAGCGAAUGGAUUAAGAGCUUGCUCUUAUGAAGUUAGCGGCGGACGGGUGAGUAACACGUGGGUAACCUGCCCAUAAGACUGGGAUAACUCCGGGAAACCGGGGCUAAUACCGGAUAACAUUUUGAACCGCAUGGUUCGAAAUUGAAAGGCGGCUUCGGCUGUCACUUAUGGAUGGACCCGCGUCGCAUUAGCUAGUUGGUGAGGUAACGGCUCACCAAGGCAACGAUGCGUAGCCGACCUGAGAGGGUGAUCGGCCACACUGGGACUGAGACACGGCCCAGACUCCUACGGGAGGCAGCAGUAGGGAAUCUUCCGCAAUGGACGAAAGUCUGACGGAGCAACGCCGCGUGAGUGAUGAAGGCUUUCGGGUCGUAAAACUCUGUUGUUAGGGAAGAACAAGUGCUAGUUGAAUAAGCUGGCACCUUGACGGUACCUAACCAGAAAGCCACGGCUAACUACGUGCCAGCAGCCGCGGUAAUACGUAGGUGGCAAGCGUUAUCCGGAAUUAUUGGGCGUAAAGCGCGCGCAGGUGGUUUCUUAAGUCUGAUGUGAAAGCCCACGGCUCAACCGUGGAGGGUCAUUGGAAACUGGGAGACUUGAGUGCAGAAGAGGAAAGUGGAAUUCCAUGUGUAGCGGUGAAAUGCGUAGAGAUAUGGAGGAACACCAGUGGCGAAGGCGACUUUCUGGUCUGUAACUGACACUGAGGCGCGAAAGCGUG